This 628-nucleotide ribosomal RNA is filed under the name soybean endophytic bacterium EN251. Its description in RNAcentral is "bacterial SSU rRNA". It matches the Rfam family "Bacterial small subunit ribosomal RNA", at positions 672 to 1310 of the family's 1533-position model. The record is from RNAcentral.
AGGUNAACGGUGAAUGGUANNAUUGGAGGAAUNCGAUGCGAAGCAGCCAUUUGCCUUAACAUGACGUUNAGGUGCGAAAGCAUGGGAGCAACAGGAUUAGAUACCCUGGUAGUCCAUNCCGUAACGAUGUUUACUAGCCGUUGGGGCCUUUGAGGCUUUAGUGGCGCAGCUAACGCGAUAAGUAGACCGCCUGGGGAGUACGGUCGCAAGACUAAAACUCAAAUGAAUUGACGGGGGCCCGCACAAGCGGUGGAGCAUGUGGUUUAAUUCGAUGCAACGCGAAGAACCUUACCUGGCCUUGACAUAGUAAGAACUUUCCAGAGAUGGAUUGGUGCCUUCGGGAACUUACAUACAGGUGCUGCAUGGCUGUCGUCAGCUCGUGUCGUGAGAUGUUGGGUUAAGUCCCGCAACGAGCGCAACCCUUUUCCUUAUUUGCCAGCGAGUAAUGUCGGGAACUUUAAGGAUACUGCCAGUGACAAACUGGAGGAAGGCGGGGACGACGUCAAGUCAUCAUGGCCCUUACGGCCAGGGCUACACACGUGCUACAAUGGUCGGUACAAAGGGUUGCUACCUAGCGAUAGGAUGCUAAUCUCAAAAAGCCGAUCGUAGUCCGGAUUGGAGUCUGCAA